CUGACAAACUAAAUAUUCUACACAACUUGAUAAACGAGCCAAAUCCAAUCAGAUUCAGUCUCUAAAAGCAGCUGCUGAUAACAUCUGGACAUUAUUAAUGUUCCACAAUCACCAGAAACAUGAUGAGCACUUUGAUCUGUUCCAACAAAACAUCUGUGAGAUGUGGAACAACAACUUUAUUACUGAUAAACAAUCCUUCAGAGGAUGGAAAACAAUGAAAUAUCAGAUCAGGAGCUGUAGUUUGAUCAGCAGGAGCCAGUUGAUGGUUGGACAGAGUGUCAUUUUUCUACACAGCAUCAGAGUGAAGUUGUUGGAUUUUCUUCCCAAUAAAAGUGGUUGAGAUGAUGAUGUGAUCAGCUCCUUCAUCAACAUGUGAAUGUGUAGAAAUAAAGGCCAGAGUGAGGCUGUGGUCAGAGAGGAGGAGCUUUCUUAGUCCUCAGCUGUUUCCAGGAAGCUGCUGCAGCUUCAUCAUGUCUCAUAUUAACGUCAUCUAAAGGUGCAGCAGCUGAUCUUUGCUCUUUGUGUCUCAGAGUGACGGCAGCCUGCAGACACAGAGGAGGAUUUUCUCUCAGACCUGGUCCACACAGCAGAGAGCUGCAGAGGAAGAAGCUGAGUGUUUCAGAGUGACGGCAGCCUGCAGACUCAGAGGACCGGUGACGGAGAAGCAGCCCAGGAUUUUCUCUGUUUCUGCUCAAACCCAGACAGCAGAGAUCUGGACUGGUGGGAAGAAGCUGAGUGGAGUCCUGACUGGUUCCAGGAAACAGAUCACCUGUCUGAGCGUCCAGGAGUGGACUGGAAACUUUCUUCUUCUUCUUCAGCGCUUUGAAUAAAGUGUGAAGGUAGAAAGUGUGUGUGAGCUGCUGUGAGUUGAGCAUCAUGGAUGAGUGUGAGGACAGAGAGGAGGGAGUCCCUCCCUCUAAAAGCUCUCUGUGUGGGGAACAGGAGAACCAGAGCAAAGCUCAGAGGUGAGAGCACCAUCUCUAACUGUCCAGGACUCUGCUGCAUGUCAGAGCUCAGCAUCACAUCACUGCUGCAUCAUUAUUGACAGGAAUCCAC
Molecule: long non-coding RNA, 1056 nt
Organism: Acanthochromis polyacanthus (spiny chromis)
Lineage: Eukaryota; Metazoa; Chordata; Actinopteri; Pomacentridae
Exons: 4
Source: RefSeq, a predicted model, not a curated record